UAGCUACAGGCUUAACACAUGCAAGUUGAGGGGCAGCAUGGUCUUAGCUUGCUAAGACUGAUGGCGACCGGCGCACGGGUGAGUAACACGUAUCCAACCUGCCGUCUACUCUUGGACAGCCUUCUGAAAGGAAGAUUAAUACAAGAUGGCAUCAUGAGUCCGCAUGUUCACAUGAUUAAAGGUAUUCCGGUAGACGAUGGGGAUGCGUUCCAUUAGAUAGUAGGCGGGGUAACGGCCCACCUAGUCUUCGAUGGAUAGGGGUUCUGAGAGGAAGGUCCCCCACAUUGGAACUGAGACACGGUCCAAACUCCUACGGGAGGCAGCAGUGAGGAAUAUUGGUCAAUGGGCGAGAGCCUGAACCAGCCAAGUAGCGUGAAGGAUGACUGCCCUAUGGGUUGUAAACUUCUUUUAUAAAGGAAUAAAGUCGGGUAUGCAUACCCGUUUGCAUGUACUUUAUGAAUAAGGAUCGGCUAACUCCGUGCCAGCAGCCGCGGUAAUACGGAGGAUCCGAGCGUUAUCCGGAUUUAUUGGGUUUAAAGGGAGCGUAGAUGGAUGUUUAAGUCAGUUGUGAAAGUUUGCGGCUCAACCGUAAAAUUGCAGUUGAUACUGGAUAUCUUGAGUGCAGUUGAGGCAGGCGGAAUUCGUGGUGUAGCGGUGAAAUGCUUAGAUAUCACGAAGAACUCCGAUUGCGAAGGCAGCCUGCUAAGCUGCAACUGACAUUGAGGCUCGAAAGUGUGGGUAUCAAACAGGAUUAGAUACCCUGGUAGUCCACACGGUAAACGAUGAAUACUCGCUGUUUGCGAUAUACUGCAAGCGGCCAAGCGAAAGCGUUAAGUAUUCCACCUGGGGAGUACGCCGGCAACGGUGAAACUCAAAGGAAUUGACGGGGGCCCGCACAAGCGGAGGAACAUGUGGUUUAAUUCGAUGAUACGCGAGGAACCUUACCCGGGCUUAAAUUGCAGAUGAAUUACGGUGAAAGCCGUAAGCCGCAAGGCAUCUGUGAAGGUGCUGCAUGGUUGUCGUCAGCUCGUGCCGUGAGGUGUCGGCUUAAGUGCCAUAACGAGCGCAACCCUUGUUGUCAGUUACUAACAGGUUCCGCUGAGGACUCUGACAAGACUGCCAUCGUAAGAUGUGAGGAAGGUGGGGAUGACGUCAAAUCAGCACGGCCCUUACGUCCGGGGCUACACACGUGUUACAAUGGGGGGUACAGAGGGCCGCUACCACGCGAGUGGAUGCCAAUCCCCAAAACCUCUCUCAGUUCGGACUGGAGUCUGCAACCCGACUCCACGAAGCUGGAUUCGCUAGUAAUCGCGCAUCAGCCACGGCGCGGUGAAUACGUUCCCGGGCCUUGUACACACCGCCCGUCAAGCCAUGGGAGCCGGGGGUACGUGAAGUGCGUAACCGCGAGGAGCGCCCUAGGGUAAAC
This 1426-nucleotide ribosomal RNA is filed under the name uncultured organism. RNAcentral describes it as "SSU rRNA". It matches the Rfam family "Bacterial small subunit ribosomal RNA". The record is from RNAcentral.